This 303-nucleotide ribosomal RNA is filed under the name uncultured bacterium. RNAcentral describes it as "partial 16S ribosomal RNA". It matches the Rfam family "Bacterial small subunit ribosomal RNA", at positions 507 to 807 of the family's 1533-position model. The record is from RNAcentral.
AGCAGUAGCCGCGGGAAUACGAAGGGGGCUAGCGUUGUUCGGAAUUACUGGGCGUAAAGCGCGCGUAGGCGGUUACUCAAGUCAGAGGUGAAAGCCCGGGGCUCAACCCCGGAACUGCCUUUGAAACUAGGUGACUAGAAUCUUGGAGAGGUCAGUGGAAUUCCGAGUGUAGAGGUGAAAUUCGUAGAUAUUCGGAAGAACACCAGUGGCGAAGGCGACUGACUGGACAAGUAUUGACGCUGAGGUGCGAAAGCGUGGGGAGCAAACAGGAUUAGAUACCCCUGUAGUCCCUGUCUCUUAUAC